Molecule: long non-coding RNA, 768 nt
Organism: Vidua chalybeata
Lineage: Eukaryota; Metazoa; Chordata; Aves; Passeriformes; Viduidae
Exons: 5
Source: RefSeq, a predicted model, not a curated record
GUGGGUGUUGGGCUGCAGGACCCCACCUCAGGGUGGGAGCUGGGGUCCCCCAGGCCAUGCGUGCUGGCCACGGGGUGUCCUGCAGGCACUGGAGGCUGGGGGUUGCCCCUAAAAGCUACACAGCAGACAUCUCUGUGGAGUCAGGUCCAGUGUUACCUCCAGUCCUCCAUUGUCACAGGACAGGGAACAACACCGGGCCAAGAGCUUUGGGGGGAUUUGGCUCCGUCCAGCACUGAUGAAGGGAGCUGUUGACUGUUACAUCUCAUUGCAUGCAAUGCCAGCAGGGACUGAACAGGGGUUACAGAACAUCACAUCACCCCAGCACCACUCUGGGCUUCCUGUGACAGCUCCAGUGACCCCACAGCUCUGGGGUGAGUCAGCCCAGCAUGGGAAUCCAGCAGGAAAUUCUGACAGCGAUAGAAAGAAAAGACAGAGUUUUUUGUUGGCCUGAGGGAUUGGUUAGCAGGAGGAAAUGAGCCAGAGAACACAAUCCAGCAUUGUCAGUGCUUCUGGAAAUGUUAUGGCCAUUCACAGACAGUGUAAUUCCUCCAGACUUUGCUCAGUGGGAAGAGUGUCGAGGGCGUUUGCUGUUUUCCGUGUCUGGCUUUGCCCCACCAAACCCUGCACUCUCUCCCAGUCUGACUGUACCCACUGUUAUCUCUCAUCUGUAACUGUAAAUACUCCAGGGCAGAGAUCAGCAUUGUUACCUGUUGUAUAUUACCUAGCUGAAAGGGGCCAAGGAUUUUAUGUGCUUUGGCAAUAAACAGA